Non-coding RNA from Trichonephila inaurata madagascariensis, 73 nucleotides. The record is from the annotation of a GenBank genome assembly. NCBI's taxonomy places the organism in Eukaryota, Metazoa, Arthropoda, Arachnida, Araneae, Nephilidae.
GUUCCUGUAGCACAAUGGAUAGCGCGUUGGACUUUUAAUCCAAUGGCCGUGAGUUCGAAUCCCACUUGGAAUG